GAUGAACGCUGGCGGCGUGCCUAAUACAUGCAAGUCGAGCGAACAGAUAAGGAGCUUGCUCCUUUGACGUUAGCGGCGGACGGGUGAGUAACACGUGGGUAACCUACCUAUAAGACUGGGAUAACUUCGGGAAACCGGAGCUAAUACCGGAUAACAUUUGGAACCGCAUGGUUCUAAAGUGAAAGAUGGUUUUGCUAUCACUUAUAGAUGGACCCGCGCCGUAUUAGCUAGUUGGUAAGGUAACGGCUUACCAAGGCAACGAUACGUAGCCGACCUGAGAGGGUGAUAGGCCACACGAGAGCGGAGACACGGUCCAGACGCCUACGGGAGGCAGCAGUAGGGAAUCUUCCGCAAUGGGCGAAAGCAUGACGGAGCAACGCCGCGUGAGUGAUGAAGGGUUUCGGCGCGUAAAACUCUGUUAUUAGGGAAGAACAAACGUGUAAGUAACUGUGCACGUCUUGACGGUACCUAAUCAGAAAGCCACGGCUAACUACGUG
Molecule: ribosomal RNA, 497 nt
Filed under: uncultured bacterium
Lineage: Bacteria
Description: partial 16S ribosomal RNA
Rfam family: Bacterial small subunit ribosomal RNA
Source: RNAcentral